This 29-nucleotide non-coding RNA is filed under the name Mus musculus (house mouse). Lineage: Eukaryota; Metazoa; Chordata; Mammalia; Rodentia; Muridae. The record is from RNAcentral.
UAAAUGAGAUCUUGUCUCUAAAAAAUAAA